UACAGAGGUGGCAAGCGUUGUUCGGAAUUACUGGGCGUAAAGGGUGCGUAGGCGGUCUGUUAAGUUGGAUGUGAAAACUCUGGGCUCAACCCAGAGCCUGCAUCCAAAACUGGCAGGCUAGAGUUCUGGAGGGGGUAGCGGAAUUCCUGGUGUAGCGGUGAAAUGCGUAGAUAUCAGGAGGAACACCGGUGGCGAAGGCGGUUCUCUGGGCAUUACCUGACGCUGAGGAGCGGAAGUGUGGGGAGCGAACAGG
RNAcentral lists this ribosomal RNA (253 nucleotides) under uncultured bacterium. RNAcentral describes it as "partial 16S ribosomal RNA". It matches the Rfam family "Bacterial small subunit ribosomal RNA", at positions 524 to 776 of the family's 1533-position model. The record is from RNAcentral.